GUGCUUUAACUGGCGUCCGCCCGCAGGGCCACGGAGUUCCAGAACCCUGGCCAACGGCCCGGAGACGCAUUCCCGGGUGGAACGGACGCCAUGGUCUUACCUGUGAGCAUGGUUUUCGUCUACAUCCUGUGAACGCCCAAGGGCGACUGCCAAUAUCAACGUUGGGUCCCACAGAGUCUCCAUCUUCAGCUUUUAAAGCCUUCGGAACGUGCCUCCGACAUCAUAGCCACGACUAAAAGAAGAAUCCGGAAGAAUGUCGUCCAAUCCUUCCGAGCAUCCGAGGCUGAACCAAAGCGAAGACGUCAUCAUGGACUGCUUGGAUGCUUCGGGCAGCAGCCCCGUUGUUACUGAUGGCUGCCAGACACACAACCGUCAGUGCCCUGCGAAGGAAGAAACUAAAGUCGUUGACGCAUCGG
This 416-nucleotide long non-coding RNA is filed under the name Dermacentor andersoni. RNAcentral's name for it is "uncharacterized LOC126543848". Lineage: Eukaryota; Metazoa; Arthropoda; Arachnida; Ixodida; Ixodidae. The record is from RNAcentral.